Long non-coding RNA from Prunus avium (sweet cherry), 368 nucleotides. RefSeq lists it as uncharacterized. The record is from RefSeq and is a predicted model, not a curated record. Lineage: Eukaryota; Viridiplantae; Streptophyta; Magnoliopsida; Rosales; Rosaceae.
UCAUUGUCUUUGAUUUUAUCUAUAUUCACCAUUACUAUUAUGCUAUGCAGUUACUUUAAUCUAAUUGUUGCGUACUUUUUUACACACUAUCAACUUCCUACAAGCUUUGUGCUGCAAAAAGUGUGAGUCCAUACCAUGGGUUGCAUGUUGUUUAAAUUCGUUGUUCCUGAGCUGGGACCGAUUCCAGAUGCCAUGGUAGUGCUUAGACAUGCUUCAAGUUUCUUGAUGCAAUUCAGAAUGCAUAAAUGGACUAAAUUAAAGGCCUGGAUGUGAACCCAUGCUAUUCACUCGGUAAUGGUUGCAAAAAGAAAAGGCUCCUGGGGUAUUAUGAUGUAUCACUGAAAAAAAAAGUGACCAAGGGUACUUGA